CCCUUAGAUGUCCUGGGCUGCACGCGCGCUACACUGGAAGUUACGGAUUGAGAUACUACCUUGUCCGAAAUGGUCCGGGUAAUCACCUAAAAGCUUGUCAUAAUUGGAAUGGAUUAUUGUAACUAGUAAUCCUGAACGAGGAAUUCCUAGUAAGUCCCAGUCAACAGCUGGUACUGAUUACGUCCCUGCCCUUUGUACACACCGCCCGUCGCUACUACUGAUUGGACGUUUAAGCAAGAUUUUUAAACACUGACAGUGUGUAGUUCACGCUAUACUACAGUGAGAAGAAGAGGAUCGAGCUUACUUGUCUAGAGGAAGUAAAAGUCGUAACA
Molecule: ribosomal RNA, 332 nt
Filed under: uncultured eukaryote
Lineage: Eukaryota
Description: partial 18S ribosomal RNA
Rfam family: Eukaryotic small subunit ribosomal RNA
Source: RNAcentral